Molecule: ribosomal RNA, 573 nt
Filed under: Triticum aestivum (bread wheat)
Lineage: Eukaryota; Viridiplantae; Streptophyta; Magnoliopsida; Poales; Poaceae
Description: partial small subunit ribosomal RNA
Source: RNAcentral
CCGUGAUGGUCUCUUUUCGGCGGAGUUCGGGAAGUGAACACGGUGUUGGAGUUAUGCUUGACGUAGGUUGUUCUAGGAUCACUUCUUGAUCAUAGUUUCUCGAACGUGCUUUGCCUUCUCUUCUCGCUCUCAUUUGCGUAAGGUAGCCACCAUAUAUGCUAGUCGCUUGCUGCAGCUCCACCUCAUACCUUUUUACCCUACCUAUAAGCUUAAAUAGUCUUGAUCGCGAGGGUGUGAGAUUGCUGAGUCCCCGUGACUCAUAGAUACUUCCAGAACCAGCUUGCAGGUGCCGAUGAUACCGUGCAGAUGACGCAACCAAGCUCAAGGAGGAGCUCGAUGAAGACCUUGUCCUUUGUGUUGUUUCGUUCUAGUAGAUCAGUAGUGGAGCCCAGUUGGGACGAUGGGGGAUAUGUGUAGCUUUUUGGGUAGUCUUCUUUCAUUUUGGUUCCGUAGUCGGACCUUGUUUGUAUCUGGAUGUUGUAAUGCUCUAUUCAUGUAUUGUUUGAAGUGGCGAUUGUAAGCCAACCAUGUAUUUGUUUCCCUUAUGUAUUACAUGGGUUGUGUGAAGAUUAC